This is a non-coding RNA of Ceratotherium simum simum (southern white rhinoceros), 2247 nucleotides long. The record is from RefSeq and is a predicted model, not a curated record. NCBI's taxonomy places the organism in Eukaryota, Metazoa, Chordata, Mammalia, Perissodactyla, Rhinocerotidae.
AAUAUUUCACAGCUCACAAAGGUCUCACAUAUGUACUAUGUUAUCUUCAUAAGAAUCCUAUUAAAGUAAGCUGGAUAGGUGUUCUUAUUCCAUUUUACACUUAAGGACCCUGAGGCUCAGAGAGAUGAAGGAAAUUGUCCAAGCUUGCAUAGCUAAUAAGUGGCAGAGGUAGAAAGGAUUCUAUCACCUGUCAUCUGGCUCUAACACUGUAAUCUCUACAGUAGCUACUCUCUAGGGAAGCUAGAAAUGGAGUAGAAGACUAGGAGAUGAGAAAUGGAGGAAAAGGAGGACAAAAAAGGAGAAUGAUAUGAUAGGAACUGACAGAAUUCUAUCAAGUCAUUCAUUUGGUCCUAUGCCUUCAGAGGUCCUAGUGUUAGAUGUGUCUCCCACCAAAAACCAUCUGACAAGUGUUAAUUCUCUCUGCCUCUCCUUAUGCUUUAUCAAUCAUGUAGCUAUAGACUGUUAUUGCUAGAAAGACCCGUAGAAAUCACUCAAACAGCAUUAUUUUAUAGAUAGAGGAUCAGCAUCCCAGAGCAAUGAAGAGACUUUCCCAAGAUCAUACAGCUUUCUGUGUUUUGUUUUUCAAUCAGCGGGUUUUUUAUUGAGCAUGUUACAUGUUCAUUCCUAUGCUAAGCAAUGUGGGAGGAUACAAAGAAGUUUAAGACAGUCUCUGCCUUCAGUCAAUUUAUGGCCUAGAUGGGGAACAAAGAGGAAUGCAAAUACAAUUUGACAGUUAAAUGUUAGUACAUGUGGUUCAGAUUAUAAAUCCAAUAGAAGUAAAAAGAAGCUAGCAUAGCUGGAGAGGGUUUCCUGGAGGAGACAGAAUGAGCUAGACCUUGAAGCGUGGGUAGGAUCUGGAUAGCAACAGAGGAAGAAAAGAGUAUUCUAGAUUGGAAGCACAGCAUGGGCAAAGGCUAGAAGGUGAGAAUCCACAUGGCAUGUUCUGGGGCAUGGGGGGUGGAUGGCUCUGCUUAGGUUGUAUCCCAGGUUUUAGGGACAUAGGGCAGAAAAAGUUAGAGAGGCCAGGUGGGGCCAGAUUAUUAAAAGUCGUGAAAGCCAAGCAGAGUAGUUACAUUCAGAGAGGCAGGCUCUUGAGCAGAGGGUGACAUGGUAAAAGUGGAUUUUAGGAACAGAAAUGUGGUCCCAACGAGUAGGAGAGAUUAGAGCCUGGGAGACCUGUUAGAUGACAAAAAGUGCCCAGGAAGGGACUGGGGGACUGAAUGAAUUACUCCCCCACCCCCACAAAUACACAACAAUGAAUACUACCACCUCCAGUCUUCGACCUGGAAUGGACAAGGAGCUGCUGGGGAUCCUGGUAUCCUACAGAGUCAGAGUCAACCUGAUGGUGUCCUGUGGAGGGUGAGUGAGGGUUCAGGGUCUGUCUGGGCAGGGGCUGGGAGCUGAGGGUAUCUUGCUUCUGUUUUCUUCCCCAUUGGACUGACCCAAUCAAGCUGUCCCCCCACCCCUUCUCCCAGACCAGGUUCCCAAACCUGUGAGCUCAGUGAGUAAGCCACUUUCCCCUCCAGAAACCCAUUCUGUGCCUGAGUUGGCCUUAUGACCCCUCAUCCCCCAGUAAAAUUAGGUUGCCACUUUGCAUUUCCAGCUGCUAAUUUUAGGGUGUCAUUCUACCCUCAGCAUCCUAGGUGACCUGACAGCCAGGUAAGAGACUGUGGGGAGGGGAGACUGGGGCGGGAAGGGGAGGAUGAGGAGAUAAGACCAAAAAAGUGAUGAGGGAGAGUCUGAGGGCAUCCCAGGACCAGAAAACUGAGGGAGAGAGGUUCAGGGAGUGGACUUGGAGGGAGAUCUGUAACUCUACCUUGGGAUCCUUGCAGUGAUGUCGGUGUGGAGCUGCCCCUGAUCCUGAUGCAUCCAAAGCCUUCGCAAGCUCUGAGGACAUAGUCAUCGAGGAGUUUACUCGUGAGCCCGGCGGGGAGGAGACCCAGGAGGCGUUGGCAGCAGAGGGGGACGAGGGGAGCUGAGCACCUUGCUCUGGUGCCGCUGUGUGGGAGCCCCACUGUAACGCUCUAAUAAAUCAGCUUGUCCAGACGUGCCUGGCGAUCUCUUUGGUAUUUCCUCCUCCUGGAGAGUAAUGGAACUAACAAGAACAAGCGCCCUCUUCCCUUGUCAAUGAUUAGAUUACUCUGUAGCAUGUGCUUUCCCCCUUAAGGACCCCCGAUUUCCCUCUGGCGUGGCCACUCGCCCUCUAUGGGUCCUUCAACUUUUCCUUCGGGCCCUGGCCAUCCCCAC